AAACAAUAAGCCCUACUUUAUAGUUGCAAAAUUUUUUUCACUGAUUUUUCUUAAGCAUUUCACCAGUUAUAAUGGAAAUGAGAUCAGGAAAGCGUAAAAGUAGAAUAUAUAGCAGUUUGAUUGCACUAGCCUCCUAGACUGGUCUCUUUGCUUCCACCCUUCUCUCUGUGGUCUAUGGUCAAAAAGGCAGCCAGGAAGAGCUGAUUAAAAGACAAUCAGACCAUGUCACUGCUCCGCUUAAAACCUUUUAAUGGUUUCCCAUCUCCCAGUAAAAGUCAAAGUCCUUGGAAAAGCUCAUACCAUCCCACCUCUGUCUCUGUUCUGGCCUCCCAUAUCAUUCCUCCCCCACCUCCACUCUCAUGCUCUUCUUCAGACAAACCAGGAUCUCCCCACCUAUCUGUGCACAUGUUCCUUCACCUUUUUCCAGUCUCAAUUCAAUUGUCACCUUAUCAGCAGGGUCUUCCUUUUUGCCCUAUUUCAAACUGCAAUCCCCUAGCUCUUUCCCUGUUAUGCUAUUCUAGAGCUGUCUCGACAUUUAACAUACUCUUGUGUGCAGUUUACCUAUUAAUCUGGUUCACUGUCUAAUGUCUCCAUUUGAACAUAAGCUCCAUGAGGACAGGGGUUUUUACUUCAUUCACUGCUGUGUGCCCUGGCUCUACAACAGUCCUUGGCACAUAGUAGGUGCCCAAUAUACACUUGUUGAAUGAGUGAAUGAUUUAAGCGUCUGUUACUGCACAGGUAUAUUCCAAGGCUGAGCUGAUUAGAGGCCCAGCAAUACCAGGCCUGGGACCUCCUAGAGCACAUGAGUUUGAACAAUAUCAAAAUGAAAUACGAGGUUCUGUGUGUGUAAGGUGCUGGGCCUGGAACCAGAUGAGCUGCGGCACUCCCCACCCCCAGCCCUGUCCGCCAACUCCUAGUCCUCAGGGACUUCACAGAUGCAUAAAAACAGAGCAAGAGAGCUUAUGUCAUGACUCAAAUUAGUACUGCCAAGAAUACGCUACAAGAGCUCCAGCACAGGAGACAUAAGCCUGGGUGGGGCAAAGGUAUUACUAAGAACGUGAAGAAACUGUUCUUGAUUUUAGACAAUGGAAUCUGAAUCUAUAAAUGAUUGCUUCCUUUAGUGCUUGGAAGAAAAUUAUUCAGAAUGAAUAAGCUUGCCAGCUCUAUCAUGUAAAUAACAACAGCUCUUUCCUUUCCUGAAAAUCUAAAAGCUGGAAAGCAGAUUCUUCAAAUGACUGAAAAUAAAGUACAACCUGUAUGGACAGAAAGAUCAAGCUUUAAGUCAUGAAUGGGGUGAGGGUUCCACGAGUGCCUCAUCAAUAUUAUACACGAUAUAAUCAUUAUUGGCUGACUUGAAACACAACACUGACAUAGAAUUCUCACACACACAGAUUCUGCUUGGACAGAAUUCCCACUUACAGCACAAAAAUUCUUCCCUCAGAAUUUCUGCCUAUUAAAUGAGAAUCAGGCUAUGGGGCACAAACAAAAUGAUUAAUCCUUUCCUUAUCCUUUUAAAACAGUGAAUAGUGCUAUAGGCUGGUAUUCACCUAGACAGAACCAUGUCAUCAAAACACUUGAAUCACUCUGGCACUCUGAAUUCUAGGCCAAACACCAGGCAGAACAGAGAAAGACCAUGAGAGACCUUAUUUUAUAAUAAAGUAUUAAUUUCCUCAGGAUCAAAUUAUUCAAAUCACUUAAAAAAGACAUUUAUUGAGUCCCUAUUAUAUGCGAGCCACACAACUAGGUAUUUGGACAUUAAUCUCCUCUAAUAGCAAAUGGGGUAAUGACCUACAUCCCUACUUUCCAGAUACGGAAACUGAGGAUUCCAGAAAAUAAGAGUAUGUAUCUAAAUUAGAGCCUGAUGCUAUCAGAAUUCAAAUCUAAGACUCUUGACUCCUGGCUCUGUGCUCAUACUACCAUACCAAGAAAGCAAGGAAAAAAGCCUAUAAGAAUUGUAAUGAAUGUAAUGAAAAUCAUUACUAAUCAGAUUUUAGUAAAGGCCUCUCACCUGAAAAUCCAAGAUAUUAUUUCUAGGACCUCAUAAGAUUUCACAGAAAUUAAAAAAUCAGUUCCUUUAUUUCAUGAAUAAGAAUAUGGGGAAAUAUUUAGCUUUUAGUACCUCCUUGUCUAGGGAAAGAAUUAACUUUUACAUCUGAUAAAGAUGACCUUUAAUUUCAUUUCCCCUCACAUGCUCUCUUGAAAAAUCAGAGGCUUUAAGCUGGCUAGUUAAAAACUUUUGCUCCUCACUUCAAAAAUCAAACUAUUUUAAAGUGUCAGGGCUGUUGAAUUACAGUAGGGACCAAACAUUUCAAUGGCUGGAAUCAGAAGAUGACACUCUGUCGGUGUAAUAAAUAAACAUCCACACGAUGAAAGGUUCAGACAGCAGGCUGUGUUGCAUGAGAGUGCUUGUGAUUCCUGUAUUAAUUAAGACUGUCACAAAAAUAAACUAUCAUGAAUGACCUAAAGGGCCUAGGAUGGACUUAGCAUGUAUGUUGGUUGAAAUUUCACUUCUGGGUUUAACCAGAGCGAGUUAGACUACACAGAGGUAUGAUUUUGUACUGAGGCCCAGGGCUCCAAAGAAAGAGGAAAAGAAGAGGACCUUGGGAAGUGCCUGUGAUGGACACUCUUCGGGUGGCCUAGGCUUGACAUUUCUCAGACCAGUAGGUAAAGUGCCCAGGGACUACCCUAUGUUGCUCCUUGAGAGCACACAGGCAGAAAGACUUCAGUUGGGUACUUUCAAAUUUUAUGUGGUAUUUUCCCUUUCAGGAGCAAAGUAUCUAAAUCAAACUCUUGGGCUGACCCACUUAAAACUGGAGAAAAUUGUUCAUGCAGAACUGACAAUUAUCCCCCUUGACCCUGAAGAUGUGGGGGGAUGCAACAGGUUCCAAAGGCCAUGGAAUAACUGCUCAAAAUCUUUUCCAAACCAGCCUCCAGUGAAUCAGUAAACUCAACACUGGUGUGCAACAUGUGAUUAACAAGUGAAUAUUUCUGGAAAACCUCAGAGCUGAAAAGGCAGGAUCAUUUCACUUCCAGAGGGAAUUAGGAGGAAAUGCUGGCCUACCCCAAACCAUCCUUUAAAAAGAGUCCCCAAACCUGGACUCUUCUAAGAAAAUAAACCAGCCCAUCUCAACUAUUUGGCUGCAGGGACAUCAAAUCACUCCCGAUGCAUUUGUUAUUUAAACUGUGAUAGGGCACAUAACCCUUUCCUAAAAAGGGCCUAAGCCACUUUGCUUUCUUGGGGAAAAGAGUUAAGCAGUGAAGGCUUGCUCCUCUACUUCUCUCUUUUCUUCUCAUGAAUGGCCUUUGCUAAGAUAAUUCCAGGAUGUUAUUUAUUUACCAGAAGCUGACUUGACUUUGCAUAAAGAUCUGGAGGAGCAAAUCUGACCCUGAGAAUCCAUUAACUUUCACAGAUUUUUUUUUUAUUUGAGGGGGCACAGGCAUCAGGAAGGGGAGCAGGCAGCAACAAAUAUACCGAGAUUCAGAAGCAGCAGUUGGAGAGAAAGGUGCAUGAGGCUGGGAGAGGCACAGGCUGCCCACCCACCUCCAGCUCCAGUUUCCAAAUGGAAGGUGGGAAUUUCAAAGAAGCCUCACCUGCUGGAUAUCCCUACCUGUGCCAGCUCAUAGAGGGAAGAAGACUUGACUUCAACCCCACAGGGGAGCAUCCCAGGGCCCAAGUUAAGACAACCUGGCAGAAAGAGUGACUAAAUAGGAACAAUUCAUACCUCUGAGCAAUGGCCCAGACAUCCACCUAAUCCAGUGAUCUGUGAGGAGUGAAUCAGUUAAAUACACCUUGUUUAAAAACAAACAACUAUGACUAAAAAAUUACUUUCAAUAGAAAAGCAAUGUGGGAGGUAAGGAAGCUCAGGAAGGCUACUUCGGUAGCAGGGGGCAAAGGAAGAAAUCUGAUAGCUCAGUUUUCCCUUGACUUCCUGUGGGCCAUAACUGCACAUCCCUGAAUCUGAGCACGAAUCUGGCAGGUUUUCUCUGUCUCAGUGCGGGCAGCGGCUUGCCACGUGAAGACACUUUUCCAGGCACUGCCCAGGGUGAGCGACCGACUGUAACAUCUAUAUCCUCUCUUCCCCGGGACCUGGCCAUCCCUGAGGUUAAGCUGCCUCUUCCAGUCCAACCGCGAACCAUCAUCUAUACUCAAUCUCUGUCCGGAUAACGUGUGGUUUAGGAAAAAGGCUGGGGGAAGAGGUGCAGAUAGGAUUUUAAAAAUUAAACCACGUUUGCUUCCAAAGGGAAGAACCAAGAGCUACUUGCCUCCCGUUCUCCCUUGCAAGCCCCUUUGAUCAUUUCGGGUAAAGCAGGAACCCGAAGCUGGCGGAAUACCCAAAUGGGAGUACCCAAGAGCUUUGUUCUUCUCCAGCAGAAAUCAACACCCUCGAGGGACAACCGCGUGGUAUCCGAGGCCGAGGGGGCGCCGAAGGACCCGGGCACCAGGUGUUAUUAACUUUCCUCUUUGAGUCGAGGGAGGUGAAGCUCCAACAGGAUUGACUGUGAACUCGGGGCUUGGAAUGGACCCUCUUAGAACUUCAUUCGCUCCUUGACUCGCUCUAUGGCCGCCCAAGGCUCCAAAGCUGUGAAAUUUGGCAGAAUAAUUAGGACUGAGAACCCGACCAAGCUGUUGUGAGGAGAAGGUGGGCGGGCCCAUCCCUAAGGCCAAGUGCUCUGGAAAGGCAAAUACGGGAAAGGUGGAGAAACUAGAAAAAGUUUGCCAACUCCUGGACUAAGAGGAUGGUGAAGGCACGCUUAUGAAAGGAUUCUGAAUCCCUGAUUACCCACGUGGAACAGAACUCUUCCUUGCCUCAUCUCACCAACCUUCACUGAAGUGUGAUGGAAGUUGUGGGUCUGUCUGCUGAUGGUCAUCAGUGAUUCUGCACAGAUGUCUCCUUCCCCACCUACUCUGUGGUAGGCAAAAUAAUGGCCCAAAGAUGUCCUAAUACCUGGAACCUGUGAAUAUGUUACUUUACAGGGCAAAAAGAAUUUUACUGCUGUGAUUAAGUUAAGGACUGACAGAUGGGGAGAUCAUCGUGGAUUACCAAAGUGGGCCCAAUGUAAUCGGAAGGGCCCUUAAAAUAUGGGAGAGGAAGACAGAGAGUCAGAGAAGGAGAUAUGGUGAUGGAAGAGAUGUUGGAGAGAUUCAGUUUCUAGCUUUGAAGACAGAAGACCAGGAGCCAAAAAAUGCAGGCAGCUUCUAGAAGCUGGAAUGGAUUCUCCCCUAGAGCCUUUAGAAGGAACACAGCCCUUCCAAACCCUUUAUUGUACCCCAGAAAGACCCAUAUUAGAUCUCUAUCCUACAAAUAAUAAAUGUAUAUUAUUUGUCAGUAA
Molecule: non-coding RNA, 5331 nt
Organism: Sus scrofa (pig)
Lineage: Eukaryota; Metazoa; Chordata; Mammalia; Artiodactyla; Suidae
Source: RefSeq, a predicted model, not a curated record